UUGGCUGCUGAAAGGGCCUCCGGGCGGGGAGCGGGGCGUCGGAGGGGCGUGUGGAGCCGCCCGGCUGCUGGUCCUGACAGCCGCGAGAGAGGCCCCUGUGACCCCCGCCCCGUCGCGGAAUGGGCUCUACGUAAGAGUUGAAACGAGAAGUGCCGUUGGGCGCCGGAAGUAAUGUGGUUGCUCUUUCAGCCUCCGCUUCUUUUCCGAUCCGUUCUCUUUCCACUAUUCCUUAAUAUGGAGGCAGGGUUCAGGGUGGAAGAAGUAGUGCGUGAUCACAUCCACCUUCUACAUUUAAAGCACACGACUCCUUCCCCAAAAAUUCCUGGAAACUGUAGUUCGUUAAGGGUGCUGGGAAUGGUAGCUCUGCAAUUCUGUAAAUAACAGUUCCCAGGAUUCUUUGGGGAGAAGCCAUGUGCUUAAGAUGUGCUUUAAUUGUAUGGUGUGGAUUAAAAUAGAGCACACUGCACGCCUGAGAUACUUAACGAAUCAUCAGUAGGAUGGCAGCCACAGCCUCCACUGUUCAGAACAUAAAAGGCUUCACUUUAUUACAGUAUUUUAAGACCAAAGGUCCCUCUGGCUCAGGUCUUUUCCUCCCAAAUGAAGCAGCUCUUUGAAAUCCAAGAGCAACCUAGUGUAUUCUGCAACACUGCAAGGCAUUAUGCUUUGAAGCAGCUCAGAAUGACAAAAUGGACUGGGCUGGCUGGCCCUAAUCAAAUUUGCCAUAGGGACAGCUUUCUAAAAUGGAGGGCUGGAACCACAAACUUUAUCUUGCAUCCAUGACAAAAAGGCAGGAAGGAAUUGUGGCCAAGUCAGUGAAAUCAUUUCAGAAAGCAGUGUGAGUUUUGAGCUCAGGAGCGGCUGUGUGACAGAGUACUAACAAGUUCCAAAAUUGCAGUCCUGUAAGCAUGUAAACAAAUGCUUAGGAGUUGAAUAAUCCAGUGACAGGAGGACUGAAGUGUAAAAUGCACACCGUUUUUAUAGUUGCAUGCUUAGGUUCACUUUGAGGGAGAUGAAACUGGAUCAUGGUGGGUUAUACAAAGGCAGCCACUUAAUCCACUUCAGCUCUUCACCCACCCAAUUUGUCAUCUGGUAUAUUAUUGGACCGCUGCCAUGGAGACACCAGCAACCCUCAAAGGCCUCUUCUUCCAAAAUAGCUAAUAAGACUGAACUGGGGAGGGGGAGUGAACAUGACGAACGUCAUUAGAUUGGAGAGAGGGAGUGAAAAGGAGGCAGAGCCCUGGAAGUCAGCAGAGGAAAAGCUGAGCAACAAAGCCAAAGGGGAGGGAGUCUGUGCUUUACUCAGGAAUAUCCCAUCUAUCAAAGCUUGGUCUGUGCAAGUACAAACAUGCACCCGCAGCUCCACAAUACCCUUGAUUUUUUUAAAAUGUUGGAUGUAGUAACCCAAUAUGAGCAACUAGUACCAGGCAGCAAAUAGGCUGAUAUUGUAAUUCAUAGGAAGUAGCAAAUGUAGCUGGAUUUGGAUAACCAUGAAAUAAUCUAGUAGCACAAUUCAGGGUUGAAUAUCCUUUAAAAUUUAAAAACCUAAACACUGUGUUACUAAACUUUAGGUUAAUGUUAGUCAGGAAAUACUGGAAACACUGGUUCAGAUCCAGAAACCUUUGUGGCUUACCCAAAGGCUUAAGGUGGAGUAAGCAACAAGCAAUUCACAUUUUAAAUGAAUGGACUGGAGUGUUCAGUUUAAGGUAGCAAUGCUGUGCAGACUUGUUUGGGAGCAAGAGCUUUUUGUUCUCCAGACUUUUAAAGUUUUGAGCCCUAGGCUGCAAUUCUAUACCUGAAAGGCCCAUUGAACUCAGCGAGGCGUCUGAGUUUACAUGCACAUGAUCACACUGUUAAGCAAUUUAACCUGCUGCUUUUAAUUGUUGGUUCCCUCCUUUUUGACUGGAAAUAUUCUGAGUUUCGUGUUGAUUUUAUUGUUAUGUAUGCCUGAACAACUCUGAAGAACCAACUGCCUAAAUGCAGAAUAUAAAUAAGUUAUGUUGAGCUUAGUGUAAUUUAUUUGUAAGUGUGCCAUGCAUAGGAUCCAGCUGGAUUACAUACAACUCUAUUAAUUUUAGGCAACUUGUUAUUGGGGGGGAGGCACUGUGAGGACUGGGUAUGUGAGAUCAGCAUAUCAAGUGUCCUGUGUAGUGAUGCCUUUAGGUAUUGCUUAUUCUCUGUUUACAUGCAAGAAUGUUUUAGCAAAUGGAGGAACAUCUGGAGUACCAACAGGAUUUUCUGAACCCAGAACUGUAUCUUGAUUGGGCCCUCCACACAACCAGCAUAGGGGAAUAAUAAUACUGGCCUACCUUGCAGGGCUCUUGGGAUUACAAAAAUACUACGCAUGAAACAAUCUGAACAUUUGAGAUGUGCUAUAUAGAUUAGUCAAAUCUUUCGCCAGUAACUGUUCAAACUAGAUUCUGAAUUGCUUUGUGACAUAAUUAUAUGUCCCUGGUGCUGGUAGUCAUGGCAUUGAACCUAAAUCCCCAAACAAUCCAAUAUAUAAAUACCUCAUGCUGGGAGCAUUAGUCACCAAACUGGUUAUCCUUUCAAGAAAACCGAUAAUUAAUGCAAUCCCUUUUAUUUAAUGGAGAGACCCUUUAUCACCACACAUUUGCUCCUGUGUUGAUUGUUGUUGAAAUGUUUAGGAUAAUCAGACAUGAUAAUAGAAGAUGGAUUGAUUGUUUGCGAUUCAGCAAAAAUUCAGGUUUGGGCAGUUCAGCAAAAAUCUGAAGAAGAACUGGUUUUUAAAGUGUUGUGCUCAACCUAUUAUUUAUCUGUAUUAAUAGCUUUUUCUGACUUGUAGUUUUGUGGUUCUAUUGGAACAUGCUGCUUUGAGUUCAAUGCUAUGACUCCAUUUCCCACACACUUAUUUUGCAGAUUCAUUAUUCACCAUGGAAAUACAUGGUGUGUGCAAGCACAUGCACUCACACACAAAAAUUCAGAAUCCUGUUACACUAUAAACAUUCUCUUUCCCACCCCACCCCCUCUGCAAAACAUGCUUUCAAUUAAAAAAUAUCAUUAGGGGCCUGUGAAUUGGAAGUAGGGAAGGUCACAAAGGCAGACUGCUACAAACAGCAAUUUUCACUUAUGCCGGUUAAGGGUUGCUAAAACUCCCUGAGAAAUUGAAGGCGCAAGCAGUUGUUAUGAGAAUCACAUUCUUUGUCACUGGAAUUGCUUGGCCAAUUUUUCGAUGGGAUUCAAUUGGGGUUGCCUGCAGAAUGUCACUGUUUUGCAAGAGGGAUUUAAUUGUGUACUGGAAAUUUAGGUUUGUGCAACUAAAUCACUCUGGAUUAAAGCACUCUGUACAACAAAUCCACUUUUAAAAAGGAGAGUUAUUGGGAAAUGCACUAAAAAUAAUGACAGAUUGACAGGUAGACCUAUAACCUCUGUGAAAACUCAUCAGGCUGAAAUUAGGGUGAAUGCACAUUGUUGCACUCUCCCCAGAAACAGAUUAGAAUGAAGAUAAAGAGCAGGCAUAAUAUAACAUCUGUGUCAACUUUAUGCAAGCAAAUCAGGAUAAGUGGUUGAUAAACAAGUUAUCCUCCAAACUAAAUAGUGUAUUAAGUAUCACUAUUGCUAUAUAAGUGAGGAACAUGAAAAUUCCAGUACUGUACCUUAUUCGACCACUUGUUUUCCCCCAUGUCAGUCCUGCUACCUCUGGAACAACAUAAAAAAGCUUGUUUUGAACAUGCUUUUAUCUCCAUCUUCAUUUGGCCUGGAAAAGCUCAGCCUUAGCUUGCCAAAAGAUGCUUCAUGUUCAUAUGAGAGUUACUGAAAGUGAUUUUAGGCUCUAUAUCAAGUGUAAGAAUUAGUUAUAUCAGACUGCUGAUAUUUUGCUUUGCUGCAACCUACUAUUUCUUUCUCACUUUGACUCCUUAAUAAAUACUAAGUGCUUUGCAAACUUAGGAUCAUCUCACCAGAGUGUUUUAACUAGCUUGGGUCCAGACCAGAGAUUUGUGAAAAGGUACUGGGAAUUACUUGAUUGAUUCUGGCUCCAGAGGACAGGCAGAUUUGAAGGAUGUUCCUUCCCUGCUCUCAAGAAACCCCAUAGCUCAGAAGUGCCUUCUGCUUCAGAGCUAAAGAGAUAAUGCAGGUGGUUGUGAUGAUUAAAGGGUCACUCUUCUCUUGGUGGCAUUUCCCUUUUUGUUACACAUCACAAAACUCCAGAGUUCUCGUCUAUAGAAAACUACACCUGGUAGUGCUGUCCUGCUAGGGCCCUUGGCUGCUUCGGCUAUGUAGCAGGCUAAAUUGACUCACUUCUGGUGGCAUGGGCAGGAGGAGGAUAGGUGACAGCAGGAAUCAGUACCUGAAUUAUGCAGGAAGAUUUUGUCAAGCAUUAGCCCUAGCGAGGUUGGGGUGCCUUUAGGCUUUGCUUCAGGUAGCGCGGCAUCUUGGAUCAGCACUGCUGGGCUUAGAGGAUUUGCUGCAUUUUCAAAAAUGCAAAACAGAUUGCACUAUGCCUUGAAGACUUGAGACAUCAGAGUGAAAGCUGGCAGGCCUACUGAGGACAAAAUGCAAAGGAUGGUUCCCCAGCACAUGCACAUACACACAUUUUCAAGGACCAGGAACAAACUAGGGUCCUCAAACACUCUGCUUUAUUGCUUCUAUCAGGUGUUGCAAGAAUUUAUUGUACAUCCUAGCAUUGUUAACCACAGCAGAAACAGAGCUGUGCUUUGUUGUGUUAGAAAAGCAAACCCCUUUCAGAGUCGCUCAAAUUUCUUGUUUCCAUGACAGUCAGAAAUGUAGUUGGUUUUACGGCUUCAUGUUUCCUGCAGAAGACCUACCUAACAAGCCCUUUUGCAAUGUACAACUUUGAUUUAUUUUUUCUUCCAUCUGUCCUUCCUGGAUAACAGGUGACACAUCAUAUACUAAGAUACGUUGACAUGAAUGACAGCUGAAUGGUUGGAAUGCUGAUGGUGCCUGGCAGCUGAACUAAAGAUUGGCAGGGAUGUUAAGAAGAUUGGUCUUUGAAAUUCCAGUUUGAUCUCAAAAGCGCAUGGCCUCUGAAUUGUUUGGAAACUUCUCUGCAAAGUGCUUUUCAGGUCGAAUUCAACAAUUCAGGUCAAAUUCAACAUGUGCCACAGAUGAUGUACCACCAUCUAGUCUCGGUGUUUCAUGAGAUCAGAGGCGCCGCCUUCACCAGAGGAUUGAGGGGGCCUGUGCACAACGUCCUGAUGCACUGACGUCGUGGGGGGGUGUGUGCCUCUGAACAUUGAGGGGGCCCGGCUCCUUUAAAAAAAAAAAAAUCGGGAUCCCACAGUGCUUCAGCCCCUAGGAGCCGGCGCCACUGCAUGGAAUACAAUGGUAAAUUCCAGAACUAAAGAAAGAUGGAAGCCAUUUCAUUGUACUGCUUGCUUCAUUUAUGGAAAAAGAAAUGUUAUUACUCAAGUUAGUCUAGAUUUACACUACCUGGAAAUCCUUCCUUCUGAGAUUAGGGAGUUUCUGUACUUACACCGGAGAGAGAAAAAUGAACUAUGCACUUGGCCAGGAUACUUCCAUGUAUUCUUGCUUCAAAUAUUCCUCUCUCUAAACUGAAGUACACAGAAGUGAAGUACCUGGAUUGCUCAUUUGGUUAGAGUGUGGUGCUGAUAACACCACAGUGGCAGGUUUGAUCCCUGUAUGGGGCAGCUGCAUAUUCCUGCAUUGCAGGGGGUUGGACUAGAUUAUCCUCAGGGUCCCUUCCAACUCUAUGACUCGAAAAUCUAAGUAAUCGUAAUCUCCUAAGGCUCAACUCUGCCCCCAUCUUCCUCCCUUUCUGCUGAUUCUUGUGUCUAUUUUUAGAUGAUGCCUCCUUGAGGUAGCAAACUGUAAAAAAAAAAUAAUUCUUUGACUAUAUGGUGCUAUGUUAAAUCUAUACAGGUUGUAUCCAAUGAUGGCUUUGCCUGGAAAGUGCUUCUGCUCAUCUAAGUUGCCUGUGAAAGACAUCUGACACUGAAACAGACUUCUUGGCUGUAGACCCAACCUGCCCCUUAGUCACAGAUCCUUACAAACCAGUUCAGAUGACAGAGUGAUAAGAGGAAAGCACUCACUGAAAAGGUACAGAGUAAGGCGGCCAAGUAAAAGAGAGGAUAGGGCUCCUGCACUUUUCAUAGAUGUUCAGAAGACCGGAUUUCAGCAGGUGUGGCUUGCAGGACAAGCCGGAUCUGUUGUGAUUCUUCUACACAACCAUUCAUGCUUCAGGUCCCCCCGUUUCCUUCUCUUUUGAAACACCCCAAAUCAGCUGCUUAAAACAGCUGAUCCAUAACAUACAGUGUUAGGUGUUACUGCUUUUAACCCUGUAAGCUGCUUUAUUUUGCAUUAAAAGUGGUAUAUCUGUGUACUGUUUGGUGUUUUUUGAAAUAUUAAGUAAUAUAUAAGUCUGAGUAUGUAUGUGUGUAUGAACUUUUAAAUAAAAUAAAUAGCAUGGCACAACAGUGAGGCUUUUAAAUAUAUAUAUAUAUAUAUAUAUAUAUAUAUAUAUAUGGGUUUUACAGUUUGGACAGAAAUAAACACCAGUAAUCUUUCAACCCUAGUUCAGCAUCAUUUGUGUAAAAUGGCCUUAAUCUUUUUCUCAAGGGGUCCCUCUCCUGGCUGCUGCUUUGCCUGCAGUACCCAGUAGCUUAAUUAGAAACAAGGGCUGAACAUACUGAAGCAUAAAAAUAAAUAUCUGUAUUAGAAAACAGUUUAGCUGCUGGAGAAACACGAGAAAGGAACAAGCAGAGUUUUACAGUAAAAUGAUAACAGAUGCUAGAAAAGUUCAGCAUAUGGGAGGCUACAUAAUACUGAAAAGUAUGAAACGUUAUGGCUAAAAUAAUAAACCAAGUAUUUGCAGAGAACAUGGGUAACACUAUUCUCCAAAAGGCUGUGUUAUCUUUCAGGGGUACAAGCUUAUCAACUAAUAGUUUAUUUAUCAGUGGAGUUUAAAGAUAAGAGUACUGAGGCUAUUUUGAUUACA
Molecule: non-coding RNA, 6934 nt
Organism: Podarcis lilfordi (Lilford's wall lizard)
Lineage: Eukaryota; Metazoa; Chordata; Lepidosauria; Squamata; Lacertidae
Source: the annotation of a GenBank genome assembly